Molecule: ribosomal RNA, 492 nt
Filed under: uncultured bacterium
Lineage: Bacteria
Description: partial 16S ribosomal RNA
Rfam family: Bacterial small subunit ribosomal RNA
Source: RNAcentral
AGUGAACGCUGGCGGUAGGCCUAACACAUGCAAGUCGAACGGCAGCACAGUAAGAGCUUGCUCUUACGGGUGGCGAGUGGCGGACGGGUGAGGAAUACAUCGGAAUCUACUUUUUCGUGGGGGAUAACGUAGGGAAACUUACGCUAAUACCGCAUACGACCUACGGGUGAAAGCAGGGGAUCUUCGGACCUUGCGCGAUUGAAUGAGCCGAUGUCGGAUUAGCUAGUUGGCGGGGUAAAGGCCCACCAAGGCGACGAUCCGUAGCUGGUCUGAGAGGAUGAUCGGCCACACUGGAACUGAGACACGGUCCAGACUCCUACGGGAGGCCGCAGUGGGGAAUAUUGGACAAUGGGCGCAAGCCUGAUCCAGCCAUGCCGCGUGUGUGAAGAAGGCCUUCGGGUUGUAGAGCCCUUCAAGUUGGGAAGAAGAGCAGCAGGUUAAUACCCCGCUGUUCUGACGGUACCAAAAGAAGAAGCACCGGCUAACUUCGUG